RNAcentral lists this transfer RNA (69 nucleotides) under Orthognathotermes aduncus. RNAcentral describes it as "tRNA-Met". Lineage: Eukaryota; Metazoa; Arthropoda; Insecta; Blattodea; Termitidae. The record is from RNAcentral.
AGAAAAGUAAGCUAAGCAUAAGCUAAUGGGUUCAUACCCCAUAUAUAGAGUUUAACACUCUCUUCUCUA